This 253-nucleotide ribosomal RNA is filed under the name uncultured bacterium. RNAcentral describes it as "partial 16S ribosomal RNA". It matches the Rfam family "Bacterial small subunit ribosomal RNA", at positions 524 to 776 of the family's 1533-position model. The record is from RNAcentral.
UACGUAGGGUGCAAGCGUUGUCCGGAAUUAUUGGGCGUAAAGAGCUCGUAGGCGGUUUGUCGCGUCUGCUGUGAAAACUCAGGGCUUAACUCUGAGCUUGCAGUGGGUACGGGCAGACUAGAGUGCGGUAGGGGAGACUGGAAUUCCUGGUGUAGCGGUGAAAUGCGCAGAUAUCAGGAGGAACACCAAUGGCGAAGGCAGCUCGCUGGGACGGUACUGACGCUGAGGCGCGAAAGCGUGGGGAGCAAACAGG